RNAcentral lists this ribosomal RNA (608 nucleotides) under Cerotelium fici. RNAcentral describes it as "partial 28S large subunit ribosomal RNA". It matches the Rfam family "Eukaryotic large subunit ribosomal RNA", at positions 68 to 637 of the family's 3401-position model. Lineage: Eukaryota; Fungi; Basidiomycota; Pucciniomycetes; Pucciniales; Phakopsoraceae. The record is from RNAcentral.
ACAAGGAUUCCCCCAGUAAUGGCGAAUGAAGAGGGAAAAGCCCAAAUUUGUAAUCUGGCUUUCUUUUGAAGGUCUGAGUUGUAAUUUUAAGAACUGUUUUCAGUGCUGGACCACACACAAGUUUGUUGGAAAACAAUAUCAUUGAGGGUGAUAAUCCCGUUCAUGGUGUGGACUACCAGUGCAAUAUGAUACAGUCUCUAAGAGUCGAGUUGUUUGGGAAUGCAGCUCAAAGUGGGUGGUAAAUUCCAUCUAAGGCUAAAUAUUGAUGAGAGACCGAUAGCAAACAAGUACCGUGAGGGAAAGAUGAAAAGAACUUUGGAAAGAGAGUUAACAGUAUGUGAAAUUGUUAGAAGGGAAACACUUGAAGUUAGACAUGCUAUAGCCAGUUCAAACCCUUUUUUCUAAGGGAGUAUUCUGGUAUCUUUAGCAGAUCAACAUCAAUUCUGUUUGGUGCUGGAUAAGGGUUGUGGAAAUGUGGCAGUCUUUGGCUGUGUUUAUAGUCCAUGACUUUGAUAUGGUGCCUGGGAUUGAGGUAUGCAGUAAGCCUUUUAUUUUUGAGAGGUGGGUCUAUAUUAUAGAUCUUCUUGCUGAGGAUGUUGAUGUAAUAG